RNAcentral lists this ribosomal RNA (2731 nucleotides) under Anaerobacillus alkalidiazotrophicus. RNAcentral describes it as "bacterial LSU rRNA". It matches the Rfam family "Bacterial large subunit ribosomal RNA", at positions 252 to 2292 of the family's 2925-position model. Lineage: Bacteria; Bacillati; Bacillota; Bacilli; Caryophanales; Bacillaceae. The record is from RNAcentral.
AGCGAAACGGUAACAGCCCAAACCAAGGGGCUUGCCCCUUGGGGUUGUAGGACACUCUANACGGAGUUACAAAGAAACGAAGUAGACGAAGCGAUCUGGAAAGGUCCGCGAAACAAGGUAACAGCCCUGUAAUCGAAACUUCGUUUCCUCCAGAGUGUAUCCUGAGUACGGCGGGACACGUGAAACCCCGUCGGAAUCCGGGAGGACCAUCUCCCAAGGCUAAAUACUUCCUAGUGACCGAUAGUGAACCAGUACCGUGAGGGAAAGGUGAAAAGCACCCCGGGAGGGGAGUGAAAGAGAUCCUGAAACCGUGUGCCUACAAGUAGUNGAAGUAGACGAAGCGAUCUGGAAAGGUCCGCGAAACAAGGUAACAGCCCUGUAAUCGAAACUUCGUUUCCUCCAGAGUGUAUCCUGAGUACGGCGGGACACGUGAAACCCCGUCGGAAUCCGGGAGGACCAUCUCCCAAGGCUAAAUACUUCCUAGUGACCGAUAGUGAACCAGUACCGUGAGGGAAAGGUGAAAAGCACCCCGGGAGGGGAGUGAAAGAGAUCCUGAAACCGUGUGCCUACAAGUAGUUGGAGCUCGUUUAUGAGUGACAGCGUGCCUUUUGUAGAAUGAACCGGCGAGUUACGAUUACGUGCAAGGUUAAGCUGAUGAGGCGGAGCCGCAGCGAAAGCGAGUCUGAAUAGGGCGAAUGAGUACGUGGUCGUAGACCCGAAACCGUGUGAUCUACCCAUGUCCAGGGUGAAGUUCAGGUAACACUGAAUGGAGGCCCGAACCCACGCACGUUGAAAAGUGCGGGGAUGAGGUGUGGGUAGGGGUGAAAUGCCAANNNNNNGGGAUGAGGUGUGGGUAGGGGUGAAAUGCCAAUCGAACUCGGAGAUAGCUGGUUCUCCCCGAAAUAGCUUUAGGGCUAGCCUCGAGGNAAGAGUAUUGGAGGUAGAGCACUGAUUGGACUAGGGGUCCCCACAGGAUUACCGAAUUCAGUCAAACUCCGAAUGCCAAAUACUUAUCCUCGGGAGUCAGACUGCGAGUGCUAAGAUCCGUAGUCAAGAGGGAAACAGCCCAGACCAUCAGCUAAGGUCCCCAAGUAUACGUUAAGUGGAGAAGGAUGUGGAGUUGCCCAGACAACCAGGAUGUUGGCUUAGAAGCAGCCACCAUUUAAAGAGUGCGUAAUAGCUCACUGGUCGAGUGACUCUGCGCCGAAAAUGUACCGGGGCUAAACGUAUCACCGAAGCUAUGGAUUGCGCACCUGGUGUGCAGUGGUAGGGGAGCGUUCUAAGUGCUGUGAAGUCAGACCGGAAGGACUGGUGGAGCGCUUAGAAGUGAGAAUGCCGGUAUGAGUAGCGAAAAGAGGGGUGAGAAUCCCCUCCGUCGAAAGCCCAAGGUUUCCUGAGGAAGGCUCGUCCGCUCAGGGUAAGUCGGGACCUAAGCCGAGGCUGAAAAGCGUAGGCGAUGGACAACAGGUUGAAAUUCCUGUACCACCUCCUCACCGUUUGUCCCAUUUGGGGCAGUAAGUAAUGGGGGGACGCAGAAAGGUAGGGUAAGCGCACUGAUGGAUAUGUGCGUCCAAGCAGUUAGGCCAAGAAGUAGGCAAAUCCGCUUCUCGUGAAGGCUGAGCUGUGAUGGCGAGCGAAAUGUAAGUAGCGAAGUUCCUGAUCCUACACUGCCAAGAAAAGCCUCUAGCGAGGUGAGAGGUGCCCGUACCGCAAACCGACACAGGUAGGCGAGAAGAGAAUUCUAAGACGCUCGGGAGAACUCUCGUUAAGGAACUCGGCAAAAUGACCCCGUAACUUCGGGAGAAGGGGUGCUCUGAUAGGGUGAAUAGCCCGAGAGAGCCGCAGUGAAUAGAUCCAAGCGACUGUUUAGCAAAAACACAGGUCUCUGCGAAGCCGCAAGGCGAAGUAUAGGGGCUGACACCUGCCCGGUGCUGGAAGGUUAAGAGGAGGGGUUAUCCUUUGGGAGAAGCUCUGAAUUGAAGCCCCAGUAAACGGCGGCCGUAACUAUAACGGUCCUAAGGUAGCGAAAUUCCUUGUCGGGUAAGUUCCGACCCGCACGAAUGGUGUAACGAUUUGGAUACUGUCUCAACGAGAGACCCGGUGAAAUUAUAUUACCUGUGAAGAUGCAGGUUACCCGCGACAGGACGGAAAGACCCCAUGGAGCUUUACUGUAGCUUGAUAUUGGAUUUUGGUACAGUUUGUACAGGAUAGAGUAAUCGCGGAUCAGCAUGCCGCGGUGAAUACGUUCCCGGGCCUUGUACACACCGCCCGUCACACCACGAGAGUUUGUAACACCCGAAGUCGGUGGGGUAACCUUUUGGAGCCAGCCGCCUAAGGUGGGACAGAUGAUUGGGGUGAAGUCGUAACAAGGUAGCCGUAUCGGAAGGUGCGGCUGGAUCACCUCCUUUCUAUGGAGUAAUACUCUAGUCGAUGCUUUUCUUUAGUGAAAAGUACCGCUUGAAGCUGUGUUUCAGUUUUGAAGGAAUAAUCCUUCGAAAAAACGAUAUAUAAAUGUUAUUAAGGAUGAGACAGUGAUCCUUAUUUUUAUAUGAUUUUUUUGUGGGCCUAUAGCUCAGCUGGUUAGAGCGCACGCCUGAUAAGCGUGAGGUCGGUGGUUCGAGUCCACUUAGGCCCACCAUACAAUUUUAAAUUUAGGGGCCUUAGCUCAGCUGGGAGAGCGCCUGCCUUGCACGCAGGAGGUCAGCGGUUCGAUCCCGCUAGGCUCCACCAA